This 374-nucleotide ribosomal RNA is filed under the name uncultured bacterium. RNAcentral's name for it is "bacterial SSU rRNA". It matches the Rfam family "Bacterial small subunit ribosomal RNA", at positions 524 to 898 of the family's 1533-position model. The record is from RNAcentral.
UACGUAGGGUGCAAGCGUUAAUCGGAAUUACUGGGCGUAAAGCGUGCGCAGGCGGUUUUGUAAGACAGAUGUGAAAUCCCCGGGCUCAACCUGGGACCUGCAUUUGUGACUGCAAGGCUAGAGUACGGUAGAGGGGGAUGGAAUUCCGCGUGUAGCAGUGAAAUGCGUAGAUAUGCGGAGGAACACCGAUGGCGAAGGCAAUCCCCUGGACCUGUACUGACGCUCAUGCACGAAAGCGUGGGGAGCAAACAGGAUUAGAUACCCUGGUAGUCCACGCCCUAAACGAUGUCAACUGGUUGUUGGGUCUUUACUGACUCAGUAACGAAGCUAACGCGUGAAGUUGACCGCCUGGGGAGUACGGCCGCAAGGUUGAA